AACCUGCAGGCACAGAGGGAUCAGCCAAGAGGCCUGCCAGAGCCCAGUAUCCUGCAACACUAGGACCAGAUGGAACAUGGAUAGUGCCUCACCUGCAUUCUGGAAUCUGAUGCCAGCUGACUUUACCUCAGGCAGGACACAUGAUUCUUCAAAGGCCCUUAGAUUUGGUAUUGCUUUUGGUUUAAGAGGAAUGCAGCAGGAAUAAAACAGAUGGAAGAACAGAAGAGAAAUAUCAAUACCUCAUCACGUAUUUACAGUAUUAAACAGGUAUAUUCUUCUGUAUAUAAAUAGACACACAUGCACAUAAAAACAUAGGCAACCUUGCCAUGAGAAUACGUGCCUAAGCCUGUUAGCAUCCACCCACAGCCACAUGUGCGUGUGAACAUGCACACAUUAUAUAACUUUGGUUAUGUAGUUGAAAUCACUACAUGAAAAUAUUCAAUUCAGAACUGUUUCCAUGGGAAUAUCGGGGCUUGCACAUCAUUGUGAAGAAACAUCUGUCCUGAUUUGGGAUUUCACCAAUGUACCUUAGCUUUACUUGCUUAAUGUUGGUUGAGAUUUUACAGUCAAAAGCCCUCAGGCAAAUUAAACUAGCCAUGUACACCCUCAGGGAGAUGAGACUUUAGUUACAUGCCUGAUACCAAUUGAUGCCAACUAGAAGAACUUCAUGAUAUUAAUGAAUGUCUAUAAUUAAAGAACUGUUAAUUAAAGUGAGUCAACCAAUCUAUUGGAAAUCUCAUACUAUUUUUUGAACCUGCCUUUAUAAUGUAAUUGUAUUUCAAGAUGACUGAGAAUCACUUAGUAAUUACUUAGUGCAUUUUGCAAGAACUGAGCAGAGUUCUAGCCAUCCUGCUCAUUGAUUUUGACAGUAGAAUAGCAAUUCAAAUCCCAAACAGAGCUGAGAAUUUUCUCUCUUCAAAACGCAGCUAACUUAAGUCCAUAU
RNAcentral lists this long non-coding RNA (943 nucleotides) under Cyanistes caeruleus (blue tit). Its description in RNAcentral is "lncRNA (ENSCCEG00000009326.1)". Lineage: Eukaryota; Metazoa; Chordata; Aves; Passeriformes; Paridae. The record is from RNAcentral.